Molecule: long non-coding RNA, 801 nt
Filed under: Homo sapiens (human)
Lineage: Eukaryota; Metazoa; Chordata; Mammalia; Primates; Hominidae
Description: long non-coding RNA NONHSAT163123
Source: RNAcentral
CACCCCCUCCCCUGUCCCCACCUCCUCCUGGUGUUCUGGUGGGGAGGGGGACGGUGAAACCUGCCCUAAGGCACUGGCUGGAAUUGCGUGCCGCGUCCGUCUCCGGAGGGAUCGUCUCUGGUCCCGCAGCCCCUCUCGACCCCUCACCCUGUCGCUGGGCUGCAGUUGGCGAUUCCGCGCGGUGAAAGCAGCCAGUGCCCAGGGUCUUUUCCUGAGUGCACCUGGGCCUGCCGCCCGGCGAUGCCAUGGGGUCGUGCGCUGCUUUUCUACUUGCCGCGCUCUCACUGCUCGGUGUACUGGGAGGGUACCCUGGGAGGCGUGCCUUUAUUCUUCCGAACCGCCGCUCACUGAGACAGUGGCUAGAAGUGUCUCUUGGACCUGUGAGUUAGCCUUAACCUGUUAUGCCCCCAGAGCCCUCAGUGGAGCGCCCGUACUUUGCCGGCAUGACGUUUGAUUUCCCGGUGAUAAUCCGACGAGUUUGACAGAUUGAGGUAGUGAGCAAAGUUGCCCGUCAGUUGGUGGCCACUUGACUUCGUGCGGACCCUGGCCUUGCUCUUGGAAGAGAUAGUGUUCUUAGGGCUGGUUUCACUGUCUCUUAAGACUGAAGGGUGGAGCUGGGAUAUAGAUGUGUUGUUUCUUUUCAAAUCAAACCUGCUUUAGGUCGUCACUCGAGGGUGUCUAGCGAUUAUGGGCAGUGGGGGCCUGGGAUUAGGGAUUUCUAAAGGCGUUUGAUUUGAAAAGGAUAACAUUACAUGAUGUAGGUGGUUUGCUCCCCUCUUUCUUCCCAUUUUUUCAAUCCCC